GAUGAACGCUGGCGGCGUGCCUAAUACAUGCAAGUCGAGCGAACGGACGAGAAGCUUGCUUCUCUGAUGUUAGCGGCGGACGGGUGAGUAACACGUGGAUAACCUACCUAUAAGACUGGGAUAACUUCGGGAAACCGUAGCUAAUACCGGAUAAUAUUUUUAACCGCAUGGUUCAAAAGUGAAAGACGGUCUUGCUGUCACUUAUAGAUGGAUCCGCGCUGCAUUAGCUAGUUGGUAAGGUAACGGCUUACCAAGGCAACGAUGCAUAGCCGACCUGAGAGGGUGAUCGGCCACACUGGAACUGAGACACGGUCCAGACUCCUACGGGAGGCAGCAGUAGGGAAUCUUCCGCAAUGGGCGAAAGCCUGACGGAGCAACGCCGCGUGAGUGAUGAAGGUCUUCGGAUCGUAAAACUCUGUUAUUAGGGAAGAACAUAUGUGUAAGUAACUGUGCACAUCUUGACGGUACCUAAUCAGAAAGCCACGGCUAACUACGUG
RNAcentral lists this ribosomal RNA (497 nucleotides) under uncultured bacterium. RNAcentral describes it as "partial 16S ribosomal RNA". It matches the Rfam family "Bacterial small subunit ribosomal RNA", at positions 28 to 507 of the family's 1533-position model. The record is from RNAcentral.